Long non-coding RNA from Leopardus geoffroyi (Geoffroy's cat), 464 nucleotides. RefSeq lists it as uncharacterized. The transcript has 3 exons. The record is from RefSeq and is a predicted model, not a curated record. Lineage: Eukaryota; Metazoa; Chordata; Mammalia; Carnivora; Felidae.
GUGGCGCUCACGCUUCUUGCGCUCUCGGAACACGGACUCCUCCAAACACUGCAGCUGAUUCUGGAGAAACGACAGGGGCACAGCAGGACAAGCUGGGACCUCCCAGGGACCCGGGAGCUCGCGUAGGCUGUACUGCAGCCAGAGCUCAUCCAGCAACUUCCGCUGCAAACCCACCUGGUGCCGCAGGGCGUCCAGCUGCUUCACCUUCUCUCUCAGCUGGUGCUCCAGAUCUUGGUUCGCAUCUCCCGGCCUCAGCAGCAUCUGACCUGGUUGAUCCCCUCUUCCCGCCCAUUGUCUUCUUUGGUGGCUGCCAGGACCCCCGCUCCCCAGUUUGCCACACCGUCUGUCUGUCGCUUCUGCAUUUCCUUGGCCUUGGGAGAGACAGCCUCGCCUCUGUUCACACCCACCCCCUCGACGAUCCUAUCCAGUCUCAGGGGUUUAUUUUUUAUUUUAGAGACAGAGAG